GAAACGACUGCUAAGACUGGAUAGGAGACAAGAGGGCAUCUUCUUGUUUUUAAAAGACCUAGCAAUAGGUAUGCUUAGGGAGGAGCUUGCGUCACAUUAGUUAGUUGGUGGGGUAAAGGCUUACCAAGACUAUGAUGUGUAGCCGGGCUGAGAGGUUGAACGGCCACAUUGGGACUGAGACACGGCCCAAACUCCUACGGGAGGCAGCAGUAGGGAAUUUUCGGCAAUGGAGGAAACUCUGACCGAGCAACGCCGCGUGAACGAUGAAGUAUUUCGGUACGUAAAGUUCUUUUAUUAGGGAAGAAUAAAUGAUGGAAAAAUCAUUCUGACGGUACCUAAUGAAUAAGCCCCGGCUAACUAUGUGCCAGCAGCCGCGGUAAUACAUAGGGGGCAAGCGUUAUCCGGAAUUAUUGGGCGUAAAGGGUGCGUAGGCGGUUAAAUAAGUUUAUGGUCUAAGUGCAAUGCUUAACAUUGUGAUGCUAUAAAAACUGUUUAGCUAGAGUAAGAUAGAGGCAAGUGGAAUUCCAUGUGUAGUGGUAAAAUGCGUAAAUAUAUGGAGGAACACCAGUAGCGAAGGCGGCUUGCUGGGUCUUUACUGACGCUGAGGCACGAAAGCGUGGGGAGCAAACAGGAUUAGAUACCCUGGUAGUCCACGCCGUAAACGAUGAGUACUAAAUGUUGGGUAAAACCAGUGUUGAAGUUAACACAUUAAGUACUCCGCCUGAGUAGUACGUACGCAAGUAUGAAACUUAAAGGAAUUGACGGGACUCCGCACAAGCGGUGGAUCAUGUUGUUUAAUUCGAAGGUACCCGAAAAACCUCACCAGGUCUUGACAUGCUUCUGCAAAGCUGUAGAAACACAGUGGAGGUUAUCAGUUGCACAGGUGGUGCAUGGUUGUCGUCAGCUCGUGUCGUGAGAUGUUGGGUUAAGUCCCGCAACGAGCGCAACCCUUAUUGUUAGUUGCCAGCACGUAAUGGUGGGGACUUUAGCAAGACUGCCAGUGAUAAAUUGGAGGAAGGUGGGGACGACGUCAAAUCAUCAUGCCCCUUAUGACCUGGGCUACAAACGUAAUACAAUGGCUGUUACAAAGGGUAGCUGAAACGCAAGUUUUUGGCGAAUCUCAAAAAAACAGUCUCAGUUCGGAUUGAAGUCUGCAACUCGACUUCAUGAAGUUGGAAUCGCUAGUAAUCGCGAAUCAGCAUGUCGCGGUGAAUACGUUCUCGGGGUUUGUACACACCGCCCGUCA
Molecule: ribosomal RNA, 1246 nt
Filed under: Festuca yellows phytoplasma
Lineage: Bacteria; Bacillati; Mycoplasmatota; Mollicutes; Acholeplasmatales; Acholeplasmataceae
Description: bacterial SSU rRNA
Rfam family: Bacterial small subunit ribosomal RNA
Source: RNAcentral